RNAcentral lists this transfer RNA (85 nucleotides) under Aquariibacter albus. RNAcentral's name for it is "tRNA-Leu". It matches the Rfam family "tRNA". From Rfam's summary of the family: Transfer RNA (tRNA) molecules are approximately 80 nucleotides in length. The record is from RNAcentral. Lineage: Bacteria; Pseudomonadati; Pseudomonadota; Betaproteobacteria; Burkholderiales; Sphaerotilaceae.
CCCCGGGUGGCGAAAUCGGUAGACGCAGGGGACUCAAAAUCCCCCGCCGCAAGGCGUGCCGGUUCGAGUCCGGCCCCGGGGACCA